Molecule: long non-coding RNA, 1397 nt
Filed under: Panthera leo (lion)
Lineage: Eukaryota; Metazoa; Chordata; Mammalia; Carnivora; Felidae
Description: lncRNA (ENSPLOG00000018645.1)
Source: RNAcentral
CAACAGGAGGCCCGCCUGGGGGCAGUGCGCUGCCGGCCGCGUCACGUGACGCUUCUUGCCAACAGGUCGCCCGAGGCGGGACGCUGGGGUCACAGAGGGCAGUGGUGAACUGUGUGGAAUUGCUGAUGCUGGAGUUGAAACCUGAAUAUGAGGAUGCUCUAAACUGAUUUGCAGCACAGUAAAAAUGGAAGAAUAAGAGCUCUCACCAUGUGCCAUUUUAGGUACAAGCUUCCAUUCCAGCAACUGAAAGGAAACUGAAAAAAAGUUAUGCCAAUACAAAUUCUUAGUCAACUACAUCACACUGUCUGGGAAGAUGUGGAAAUUAUUUGACAAAGAUUGUUCUACAUGGUAUCACUCCAAGCCUUCCAAAUGCUUGAACUUAGCUCCGUCAGUCUUUGUUCUAAGAACCAGAAGUCACCUUUUGUUCUAUCAAAGAGAUAAAAUAAAGAACCCAAAUUGGAGUAAAUUCAGUGUACAAUUUCUAAUUUAGUUCCUAUUCCCUUUUUUAAAGCACAUUUAUUUUUACUCAUGUUCAUUUGGAAAAAAACUGCCGUGUACCUUAAAUCCAAUCAAGGUUUAAGAUUAGGCCCAUUUUUCUCAGACACAUUUUUAAAUACAUACAUAUCUUCAAACCAAAAAGCAGCAAGUAAUUUUGUAUAAAGUGUAUUUGCAUUAAGUACGUUUCUUUUCUUGCCAUGGUUAUAUGGACCAAUGGUGGAUUCGUGUCAAGUUCAGUGAAUCCAAGUGUAACCUGUUUUAGAGGUUGGUUUUUUUGUUGUUGUUUGUUUUUUUGUUUCCCUUUAAAUGUCUCAUGUUGUUUUGCGAAGUCUAUGUAAUUUAAUCUAUCUAAUUAUCCUUUCAACAGAAAAACGUCCCUGGUGUUGCCUUAUGCCAACAAAAACAGUACUAUCUGAUCCAACAAACUAAUGCUCCUGAGACAUCAUACAAUAACAAACCAAUAUGAACAAGGGGAAAAGGAAAGCCAAAUACUCACAAAGAAAAUUAGACAUACAGUUUUGCACUUCUGAGAGGCUAACCUCACAUUUCUUUUAAACAUCAGAUCUCAGGACUGUUGUAGAUGGUAGUGAAUUUCUUAAGCUUGAUUAACAAUUUUUCAGACAAUUUAAAGGUCACAAAUGUUUAAAAAAAAACACUCCUCUUUCUCUGGCUUUGACAGCUAAAGUUUUAUUUCAGAAUUGCACAUUUAUCUGUAAUAUUCCAGACACUGAGAUAAUGACAGUUAAUUAACCUGGCAGUAAUUGUAGUCUAUUUUUCAGGGAAUUAAGCACACACUAUAUCAUGCACCAGACAAAACUUGGUCUUCAAACAGCAGUGCACUUAAUGCUUGAAAUGAAAAUUAGAUACAGAGGUGUUCUUUCAGGGAAUGAAUGAGAAUU